GCGCCUCUUAUUUCCUUCAUCAUUUUGGCGGACUCAACCCAAUUUCACUCAACCCUUCACAAUUUCCCUAUCAUUCAUUGUUCUCUCUUGUCAAACAUCCUCCAAUUUUCAAUUUCACAUCAGCCAAACUCAAAAUCUGAAAUUCAUUGGUCCCUCACGUUAUUGCGGCGCCAUCGUCAUCGCCGAGCUGUUGCUUCGCCGCCAGCAUCCUGUUCGCUGCUUUCAGACGCUGCUGCGUCCUCUGCCCAUACCCUAGGCGUCGAUUUUGCUCAUCGUACGACGCUAUCACCAGUGUUCUCGCCCCAAUCGAAGAAGCCUAGGUAUUAAUAUAUUAUUGAAGGGAAUCAAAAUUCUAAACAAGAUUCAUCUCGUUGCUCUGCAAUUCUAGGUAUCCAUAUAAAUUAUUUCUUAUUUUUCAAUUUUAAGUAGCUUAUUACAGGAGUUCACGUGAAUUAAGCAAUCGCGGUUAAGGAAAUGCACAUAAAGUGUUUGUGAAAUUUCUUGAGUGAAAAUUUAGGUUUUUUCUUUUAUUUGUUGUUUUCCUAGUUCUAUAUGUUGCUUAUAUAACUUGGUUAUUGUUUAUGGCAAUAUCUGUUGCUUUCGAUUAUUCUUAUAUAUAUAUUUUUUUCCUCUAGUCUAAUCAAUUCUGAAAUCUUCUCGUUGAUUCCCAAAGUUAUCAUUUAAGUUGAGUUUCUUUGGAGCAAAUGGUGAAUUUAAAUUGUAGGUCUAAAGAACUUUUGCAUUGUCCCUUACUGCAGAAUAUAGCAGGGAAGUAACAUAUUUGCACUAAGCUGCUUACUAUAUAACUUGAUUCUCAUUUUUGAAAGUAUCUGUUAUGUUUGUUUAUUUCUUAUAUCUUGUCUAUAGUCUAGUGAAUUCUGAAAUCUUCUAUCAUUUGCCCACAGUUCUCAAUUAUGAAGUACAGCUCCAUUUGAGCAAAUGGUGGAUCUGAGCUCUAGGUCUAGUAACUUCUGUAUUGUUCCUUACUAGAAGCAAUAGUGGGAGAGCAUAAUAUUUUCACUCUUUUACUUGAAUUUAAUGCAAGUUAAAAUUUCUCCCAGGACGUUAGGCAGCUAAAACAACAAGCAACAACACUAAUGGCUGUAACCACAUGGUGCGUUUAACUUGGGUUGAAUGCUGUUGGUCAUCAUUUUUUAGUGUUAUAAACUGCUAGAGGAUGUUUUAGGAUACUAGUUUGAGUUGAUUAAGGGCAUGAUUGUUUUCUGUGGAGUGUGAUAAAUAGGUUAUUUGCAAUAUUGUGGAGAAGGAAUAACAAUAUUUUGGAAGAAACUAUUGAAGAGUAUGUUUUUGUUUAUUUUUUUUUGUAGUUGUAUUGGAGAGUGUGGCUUAAUAUUUAGUGUUUCUUUUUUCAGGUGAAUAAUGAUUAAAAAAAAUGUAAAAGUAACUUGUUCCUGAUUGAAAUAUAUAUUUAGACUCCAUUAUCAUUUAAUCUCUUAUUCCAGAGUCCACCAUAAUUAAUGAGAUUGAGUUAUCACUUUGUUAUAUAAACAUCUUUGUAACUGUUAACAAAGAAGACAAAUAGUGGAUGGUAUUUUUCGAGAUAAUAUCCCAUUCAAUGUAGGCUUGAGUUACUUUGAGAAAUCACAUGACUUUGUUCUAAACUAUAAUCAUAUUCGCAGGCCUAUCACUUGGAGUAAUAAGUGAUGUAGUUGCCUUGUUCACGGGUGCUCUAGGGAAAUUAUAAUGAUACAGUUAAGAUUUGUAUACUGUGUGUAAGAGUUUGAUUGUGUCUAUUUUAAAAGGAAUCUGAACUAGAACUGAGAUUAAUUUACUUCUGCCUUCUUUGUCUUUACCUAGUUGCUCUUUUGCCAUUGUUGCAUGCAUAGCUUUAUGAUGUGUGAUAUUACUUUUUUAAUUCUUUUUCUGUCUUAGUUGUUCAUAAUUUUUGCAAAUACUUGGAUUUUAUAGAUUUUUUGGAUUGUAAAUUAACCUGACAUAUGUUGUUGAAAUCUGCUUUAUUUCUAAGGGCUCUGUGUUUCAGCUGAAAUGAUGAAAAUCAAAUUGUUGAAUUUUGUUUGGUAAAAAUAUUCUUGAUGAAUUCAG
RNAcentral lists this long non-coding RNA (2064 nucleotides) under Salvia miltiorrhiza (redroot sage). RNAcentral's name for it is "long non-coding RNA (SMIL_LNC000032)". The record is from RNAcentral. Lineage: Eukaryota; Viridiplantae; Streptophyta; Magnoliopsida; Lamiales; Lamiaceae.